UACGUAGGUGGCAAGCGUUGUCCGGAUUUACUGGGCGUAAAGAGCACGCAGGCGGUCGGCCAAGUCGAGUGUGAAAGCCCCCGGCUCAACUGGGGAGGGUCACUCGAUACUGGUCGACUCGAAGGCGGGAGAGGGAAGCGGAAUUCCCGGUGUAGUGGUGAAAUGCGUAGAUAUCGGGAGGAACACCAGUGGCGAAGGCGGCUUCCUGGCCCGUUCUUGACGCUCAUGUGCGAAAGCUAGGGGAGCAAACGGG
RNAcentral lists this ribosomal RNA (253 nucleotides) under uncultured bacterium. RNAcentral describes it as "partial 16S ribosomal RNA". It matches the Rfam family "Bacterial small subunit ribosomal RNA", at positions 524 to 776 of the family's 1533-position model. The record is from RNAcentral.